GGGCCGAUGGUGAAACGGAAUCAUGCCUCGCUUGCACCGAGGAGUUCCUGGGUUCGAAUCCCGGUUGGUCCAC
RNAcentral lists this transfer RNA (73 nucleotides) under Actinoallomurus iriomotensis. Its description in RNAcentral is "tRNA-Ala". It matches the Rfam family "tRNA". Rfam says of the family: Transfer RNA (tRNA) molecules are approximately 80 nucleotides in length. Lineage: Bacteria; Bacillati; Actinomycetota; Actinomycetes; Streptosporangiales; Thermomonosporaceae. RNAcentral also lists the same sequence under 1 other name. The record is from RNAcentral.